Molecule: non-coding RNA, 89 nt
Filed under: uncultured Acetatifactor sp.
Lineage: Bacteria; Bacillati; Bacillota; Clostridia; Lachnospirales; Lachnospiraceae
Description: TPP riboswitch (THI element)
Rfam family: TPP riboswitch aptamer (THI element)
About the family: Vitamin B(1) in its active form thiamin pyrophosphate (TPP) is an essential coenzyme that is synthesised by coupling of pyrimidine and thiazole moieties in bacteria. The previously detected thiamin-regulatory element, thi box was extended, resulting in a new, highly conserved RNA secondary structure, the THI element, which is widely distributed in eubacteria and also occurs in some archaea.
Source: RNAcentral
AUUGCUAGGGGUGCACGUCGCUGAGAUUGAAGGGAAACCUUCUAGACCCUCAUUACUUGAACCGGAUAAUACCGGCGGAAGGAAGCAGA